RNAcentral lists this unclassified non-coding RNA (3292 nucleotides) under Leishmania donovani. Its description in RNAcentral is "gene:LdHU3.17.1860(CDS-product:hypothetical_prote in_conserved)". Lineage: Eukaryota; Euglenozoa; Kinetoplastea; Trypanosomatida; Trypanosomatidae. The record is from RNAcentral.
UAGGGCGACGUGUGGCGGAUUACCCAUUCCCUCCCUCUCCUCGCUUCACGCACACACACACACACACACACGCACGCACCAUUGUCAUCCUAAUAAUCAUAACCAAGAGUUUUUGUGCUUCGUGAUAGGCUUCUGUGGCGGACAUGGAGCUGCUGCUGACUCUGCCGUCCCCUCUGGAGGGGAUCGAGCGCUACUUAGUGGGUGACAGGCUCCAGCUGACGCUGGAGGAGGCCGGCGAGCUCUCCAGCCGCUACCACGCAGCGGUGGAACUGCACCUUCGCAGCAGCAGCAGCCGCGAAGCCGUGAGGGAUGAGGCGGCAGAGGAUGGCAUUGUGUCAGCUCUCACGUUCGCCCUGCGCCUCUUUAACGCCGAGAACUUCUCGGGCGAGCUCACCGCGGCGGAGAGGGCACGCUACGGUGCCGUCUUGAACCACUUUGGUGGAACUCUGCCCAAAGGCUACGAGGGCCCGGAUGGGAGGAACAGCGACAACGAAGAGGAGGCGGCAGCGCCGGUUUCCACGUCCCCGGUGGCUCCUUCCUCGGCCACGGCUCUGACCGCCGCUCAGCGCGAGCGGCUGCAAGACCUGUUUCUCCAGCGGCUGCUGACGACGGAUGGCGAAAUGCCGGUGCCGGCGAUGCGCCUUCCUGGCCUUCUCCUCUGCAUUAUCAGUAUUGCCAAGGCAGAGCUCGAGCCGGGUGUGCCGCUGGUGCCGCUGACCUCCCCGUGGCGUCUGCGCGCUUUCUUCCGCCACCAGCUAUGCCUCUCCCAUCGCUCCAACACGGUCUUUCUGGCGUUGGCGGCAUGCGUCGACGCCGUGCUGCGGCUGCCGAGCGAGGAGCAGACGGUCGAGAUGCUGCUGGAGGUGGGCCAGGUGCAGGGCUACUACCACCGCCGCGAUCUGGCAAAAAUUACGUUCGAGGCGGCCAUGCGCCUUAGCGGGCUGCGCGUGGAAGAGACGUCGAUGAUGGGGGUGCGCACCCGCUGGCAGCAGAACCAGCAUGUCCAGAUGGUGCUGAACGCGACAAGUAGCCGCCCUGUUCCUCCCCAGUCCAUGCUGGAGGAACAGCCGAAGACGAUCAUGACGGAAAAGGACGGCCACGACCUGCUCGACCGACCCCGCGAGACGCCCGAGGCGGCUCUCCAGCCCCUCACCCCGCUCCACCCUGAGGACAAGGCAAUUCUCCUUGCUCUCUGCAUGGAUAUCCGCAACAACAACCCCGACCACGGGCUGACGCGGCACCACAUGAUGACGUACAUCGAGCGGCUGCUAGCGGACCCGGCCCCGUCGCCGUUCAUGGUGCGGUGCCAGACGCUGUUGAUGCGCGCGCGCCUCGAAUCACGGCGAAAUCGUGUGCAGGAACGCGCGUUCAUGCAACUCACCGAGUUAGUGGAGCAGUACUCGGCCCGCCGCGACCCCACGCACGAGGUUUUUGGGCGGACGGCCAGCGACUACUUCUACAGCGUCGCCUUCCCGCCGGUGUGGGCGCUCAAGCGCGAAUACGCGGGCUUUUGUUUCGAGGAGACGCUCUACAAAACGGCGCUGGAUGUGUACGAGCAGAUUCUGGACUGGGAGUGCAUCAUCGAGUGCUGCAAGAAGCUCGACAAGCGGCGCCGCGCUGAGAGUCUGGCGCGCCAGCUGUUGGAGACGGAUCCGCUGAACCCGAUGCUGUGGGUCGCGCUCGGCGAGGCGACGCGCGACGACGCGCACCUAUGGAAGGCGUGGGAGCUGUGCGGGCACAAGAUGGCCGCCCCGAUGCGGGCGCUGGCUCGCCUGGCGCUGGACCGGGAACACUACGCCAAGGUAGUCGAGUACUUUGACGAGGCGGUGCGCAUCAACCCCGUUUUUGGCGGGGACUGGUUCGCUCUCGGCUACGCUUCGCUGCGCCUGGAGCGGCUCGGGCGCAGCGGCGAGGCCUUCACGCGUGUCUGCCAGAUCGACCCGAGCGACGCCUUUGGGUGGAAUAACCUGGCUUCUGUCAUGCUGCGCGAGCGCAAGCUUCGGCCAUCCUUCAACGCCAUGAGCCAGGCCAUCCGCAACAACCGCCGCGACUGGCGCAUGUGGCAGAACUAUUUCCGCAUCGGCUGCGAGCUGAAGGAGGUGACGGAGACGACGAACGCUCUCGGCAUCGCGCUGGGCAUCGCGCAGCGGCAGAUCCACCUGGAGCGUGACACGCUGGAGCUGUUUGUGGACAACACGGUCGCCUACUUGAAGGGCGAAAUUCACGGCAGCUCCCUCGACGCCGAUGAAACGGACGGCUCCAAGGCAGACGCGCUCGUCUACCGCAGCCUCGGCAUUCUGCCAGGCGAGAACGACAUCCAUCAUGCCCCGGUGGCGCAGACGAUGACGACAGCGGAAGAGGACGAGGAGAUGGCUGACCUGACGCCGUUGGGAGCGGGUGUAGAGUUGCCGGAGCCCGUGACGGGUGCGGCGGCGGCGCAGACAACGGAGGAGCGCGAUGCCGUCCUUGCAGGAAUCCGUCGCCGUCACGCCGACCGCGUCCGUGCACUGUUUGCCCGUAUCCUCGAGCUCUUCGUCAGCGACCCGGACAUCUACGCGUGCGCCGCGAAGCUCAUGCACUUCUUGGACGGCCCCAUGGCGUCCUUCCGCUACCGCCAGAAGGAGCUGCGCGCGUGCCAGCAGAAGGAGCAGUGGUGCCGCGAGGAGGCUCUGUUCAGCCGCACCGUGGAGUGCCUGGAGGCAAUGGCCUCCGACGUCUUCGAGGCCUUCGGUGAAGCGCAGGACGGCGGCGCUGCCGCAGCGACGGUGCCGUAUGCGCAGACGACUCCUGCAGGUGCCGAGGGUGCGCCGCAGGCGCCAAUACCGCUUGCUGGCGAGGCACUGCAGCAGGCCAUCGUCGACGCCUUCAAGGAGAUACAAACAAACAUCAAGGGGGCUCUCGACGCGGCCGAGGAGCACAUGGAGGAGCACGCAGUGUACAAGCGGCUGCGCGAGCUCUCCACGCGCGUGCGCCGCGGCGCGCAAGGAGCAAAGGUGGCGUUUCUCUGAGGGGGGCAGGAGAUAGGGGGUAGAGAGGGAGCCAUGGAGAUGUGCACAGGAGGGGCAGACACGCGCGGCAGUUUGUUCGGUGCGCUGCUGCCACCUCCUCCUAACGCCCCCCCCCCCCCCCCCCCCCCCCCCGUGCUUUCCUCAGCCCCUUUCCGCACCCGCGCAAAGUCUAGCACCCCCAGCCCCAGCCCCAGGACUUACCAUUCUUUUCCUGCGUCGUCGACGCUCUCUCUCUAACUCAAGUACCACUCGAUUGCCGUAAUCUUUUGCCGCCAUGGCGGAUC